GGGGAUUUAGCUCAGCGGCAUAAGCACCUGCCUUGCAAGCAGGUGGUGGUAAGAGUACCCA
This 61-nucleotide transfer RNA is filed under the name Cavia porcellus (domestic guinea pig). It matches the Rfam family "tRNA". Rfam says of the family: Transfer RNA (tRNA) molecules are approximately 80 nucleotides in length. The record is from Rfam by way of RNAcentral. Lineage: Eukaryota; Metazoa; Chordata; Mammalia; Rodentia; Caviidae.